GACGAACGCUGGCGGCGUGCUUAACACAUGCAAGUCGAACGCUGAAGCUCAGCUUGCUGGGUGGAUGAGUGGCGAACGGGUGAGUAACACGUGAGUAACCUGCCCUCUUCUUUGGGAUAACGCCCGGAAACGGGUGCUAAUACUGGAUAUUCACUGAUUCUCGCAUGGGGGUUGGUGGAAAGGUUUUUUCUGGUGGGGGAUGGGCUCGCGGCCUAUCAGCUUGUUGGUGGGGUGAUAGCCUACCAAGGCUUUGACGGGUAGCCGGCCUGAGAGGGUGACCGGUCACAUUGGGACUGAGAUACGGCCCAGACGCCUACGGGAGGCAGCAGUGGGGAAUAGUGCACAAUGGGCGAAAGCCUGAUGCAGCGACGCCGCGUGAGGGAUGGAGGCCUUCGGGUUGUAAACCUCUUUCGCUCAUGGUCAAGCCGCAGCUUUGGGUUGUGGUGAGGGUAGUGGGUAAAGAAGCGCCGGCUAACUACGUG
This 482-nucleotide ribosomal RNA is filed under the name uncultured bacterium. RNAcentral describes it as "partial 16S ribosomal RNA". It matches the Rfam family "Bacterial small subunit ribosomal RNA", at positions 28 to 507 of the family's 1533-position model. The record is from RNAcentral.